This 478-nucleotide ribosomal RNA is filed under the name uncultured bacterium. RNAcentral's name for it is "partial 16S ribosomal RNA". It matches the Rfam family "Bacterial small subunit ribosomal RNA", at positions 28 to 507 of the family's 1533-position model. The record is from RNAcentral.
GAUGAACGCUGGCGGCGUGCUUAACACAUGCAAGUCGAACGGGAAUUAUUUUAUUGAAACUUCGGUCGAUUUAAUUUAAUUCUAGUGGCGGACGGGUGAGUAACGCGUGGGUAACCUGCCUUAUACAGGGGGAUAACAGUCAGAAAUGGCUGCUAAUACCGCAUAAGCGCACAGAGCUGCAUGGCUCAGUGUGAAAAACUCCGGUGGUAUAAGAUGGACCCGCGUUGGAUUAGCUUGUUGGCAGGGUAACGGCCUACCAAGGCGACGAUCCAUAGCCGGCCUGAGAGGGUGAACGGCCACAUUGGGACUGAGACACGGCCCAGACUCCUACGGGAGGCAGCAGUGGGGAAUAUUGCACAAUGGGGGAAACCCUGAUGCAGCGACGCCGCAUGAAGGAAGAAGUAUCUCGGUAUGUAAACUUCUAUCAGCAGGGAAGAUAGUGACGGUACCUGACUAAGAAGCCCCGGCUAACUACGUG